UGGAAAGGCAGGCUUCGGCCUGCCUUUCCUGUUGCCCGAGACAGGACUUCCAACGUGCGGGGGGGCAACGGAAGUCCAUCUCGUCGUCUCAACCGGGAUUGAUCACGAUUGGUUCCACUCUGUCAAUCGUAGUUAUCUAAAAUAGUGAUUGCCCCACAGCAACGUGGCUGGACGGUAAAUUUUCCAUAAA
RNAcentral lists this non-coding RNA (190 nucleotides) under Brucella neotomae 5K33. Its description in RNAcentral is "Brucella sRNA CII26". It matches the Rfam family "Brucella sRNA CII26". The record is from Rfam by way of RNAcentral. Lineage: Bacteria; Pseudomonadati; Pseudomonadota; Alphaproteobacteria; Hyphomicrobiales; Brucellaceae.